ACUAUGAGUGUCUAAUAAAUUGCUUGAAUUAGCUCACAUGUAACUAUUGACUCGACAGAGAUCACCAUAGACCUAACCAAAACAUCAAAAGUGAUUAUUUUAUUUUUUAUGAACUAUUCAAAAAGAAAAAAAAGAAAUCAUAAACUAAGGAGGAGAGUAGCGAGAAGGACCUGGAAAUGUUUCACAAUUAAUUUGCUGAAAGUGAUUACAAGACAAUCCAGCAACAGACUCGAACACAAGACCGAAAUGGCAAUAGGAGAACUCUGUCGUGAACCUCGAACUUGGAUGACAACUCCAACUGAUUUUACACUUCAAAUGUUUGGGACGUUUUGAAGCUCACAAACAACAGGAACGCAACCAGAACCUCGAUAGACGACGGGCUAGUCGAGCUGAGUCCGAGAAAACUCAAAUCGCGCCGACGAACUCGAACUCUACAUCGACCCGGAGAAACCGAAGCUCAAAGAGCUGACUGGAAUUGAAACUUGGUGUCUUUUGGGGUCUACAGCUGAGCUGAUUUUAAAGCUGGUUUCAAGAGUUUUUACAUGGUAUUUUGGAGGUGCUCUAAUGGAGGUUUAGAGGGGGUGGUCGGCUGGUUUGUGUCCAUUUUUUGGUUCUUGUAUAUGUGUGUGUUUCUCGCUGGGAUGAGGGUCCUCGUUUGUGUGUUCCGGCGAGUCGCCGCUGGCGGGGAGACGGGGAGUGGAGGG
This 704-nucleotide long non-coding RNA is filed under the name Nicotiana tabacum (common tobacco). RNAcentral describes it as "long non-coding RNA (NTAB_LNC010351)". Lineage: Eukaryota; Viridiplantae; Streptophyta; Magnoliopsida; Solanales; Solanaceae. The record is from RNAcentral.